This 380-nucleotide ribosomal RNA is filed under the name uncultured eukaryote. Its description in RNAcentral is "partial 18S ribosomal RNA". It matches the Rfam family "Eukaryotic small subunit ribosomal RNA", at positions 592 to 976 of the family's 1831-position model. The record is from RNAcentral.
CAAUAGCGUAUAUUAAAGUUGUUGCGGUUAAAAAGCUCGUAGUUGGAGUUCUGCCAGGUGCCGCCUGUCCGCCCCAGUGGUGAGUACGUGGCGCGCAUUUGGCCCUUUCAAGGGGAGCGUAUCUGCACUUUAUUGUGUGGUGCGGGAUCCUUGACUUUUACUUUGAGGAAAUAGGAGUGUUCCAAGCAGGCUCUCGUCGUGCACAGCUCAGCAUGGAAUAAUAGCAUUGGACCUCGAUUCUAAGCUGUUGGUUGCCAGAAGCGAGGUAAUGAUGAAGAGGGAUAGUUGGGGGCAUUCGUAUUUAACUGUCAGAGGUGAAAUUCUUGGAUUUGUUAAAGGCGGACUACUGCGAAAGCAUUUGCCAAGGAUGUUUUCAUUGA